UACGUAGGUCCCGAGCGUUAUCCGGAAUUAUUGGGCGUAAAGGGCGCGCAGGUGGCUGUGUAAGUUUGAUGUGAAAUUUUUGGGCUCAACCCAAAAAGGUCAUUGGAAACUGCACGGCUUGAGAGCAGGAGAGGUAAGUGGAAUUCCUAGUGUAGCGGUGAAAUGCGUAGAGAUUAGGAGGAACACCAGUGGCGAAGGCGGCUUACUGGACUGCAUCUGACACUGAGGCGCGAAAGCGUGGGUAGCAAACAGG
RNAcentral lists this ribosomal RNA (253 nucleotides) under uncultured bacterium. RNAcentral describes it as "partial 16S ribosomal RNA". It matches the Rfam family "Bacterial small subunit ribosomal RNA", at positions 524 to 776 of the family's 1533-position model. The record is from RNAcentral.